This is a long non-coding RNA of Stomoxys calcitrans (stable fly), 436 nucleotides long. RefSeq lists it as uncharacterized. Lineage: Eukaryota; Metazoa; Arthropoda; Insecta; Diptera; Muscidae. The transcript has 2 exons. The record is from RefSeq and is a predicted model, not a curated record.
UCCAAAAUUUUCCCAUAUUUUUCGAAAAGUCGAAAGUCGGGAUAUUCACACAAAGUCGGGAUAAUUCCGACCAUUUGGCAAACCUAGACUUAAUACUGCAGAUUUGGCCAUGAACAUUCCAUCAAGGAAUAACGAAAAUGUAUUCCUCUAGCCGAACGUAGAAUAGAUGCCCAAGUGCCUCAAUCUUCUGCACUUCUUAUCCAAUAUCUGACACCCAGUUUCGAGAUGUUGCUCUCCACUUGGUCACGCCAUCGAAGUUUUGGUUUUCCCCUUUUAAUCAAUUCUGCCGAAUAAUCCAACGCAAACGUUGAUAUUUUUAUGCAUUUAACUAUGCUAUCAUCGUCAUGCAGCUCGUAGAUCAUAUGACGCAUAUAUUCUCCAUUAACGCAACUGGUCCAUAUAUUUUAAGAAGAAUUUUUUCUCUCAAACACUUCAA